RNAcentral lists this small RNA (2011 nucleotides) under Pongo abelii (Sumatran orangutan). RNAcentral's name for it is "retained intron". Lineage: Eukaryota; Metazoa; Chordata; Mammalia; Primates; Hominidae. The record is from RNAcentral.
GAGCUGCUGAGCAGAAGCUGAAACACAGAAUUCCAAGCGUUGCUGAGACCCACUGACCUGCAGACCUCACGGUGGGUGCCCAGGAUGUUGUCCUACGGAGAGAGGCUGGGGUCCCCUGCUGUCUCCCCACUCCCAGUCCGUGGGGGGCAUGUGAUGCGAGGGACGGCCUUUGCUUACGUGCCCAGCCCUCAGGUCCUACACAGGAUCCCGGGGACCUCUGCCUAUGCCUUCCCCAGCCUGGGCCCUGUGGCCCUUGCCGAGCACACCUGCCCCUGUGGGGAGGUCCUGGAGCGCCAUGAACCACUGCCUGCCAAGCUGGCCCCGGAGGAGGAGCAGAAGCCAGAAUCCAGGCUGGUCCCCAAGCUGCGCCAGACCGGCGCCAUGCUGCUCAAGGUGCCGCUGAUGCUCACCUUCCUCUACCUCUUCGUCUGCUCCCUGGACGUGCUCAGCUCGGCCUUCCAGCUGGCUGGAGGUAGGGCCCGGGUGGAGGAGACCAGGGAGGGAUUCCUGAAGGGCCAUGGACAACACUGGCUCAUGCUCCCCAGGGAAGGUGGCUGGUGACAUCUUCAAGGAUAAUGCCAUCCUGUCCAACCCGGUGGCCGGGCUGGUGGUGGGGAUCCUGGUGACCGUGCUGGUGCAGAGCUCCAGCACCUCCACGUCCAUCAUCGUCAGCAUGGUCUCCUCUGGCUUGCUGGAGGUGAGCUCUGCCAUCCCCAUCAUCAUGGGCUCCAACAUCGGCACCUCUGUCACCAACACCAUCGUGGCCCUGAUGCAGGCGGGGGACAGGACUGACUUCCGGCGGUGAGGGGGGCUGGGGGUUGGGGGCUCGUGCCUGGGGGAGGACAGCCCCAGAUGCCAGGAACCCCAGGUGUGACUGCGCUCUGGCUCCAGCCUGCCUUGCAAUGUGGCCUCCCUGCCCAGGGCCUUCGCAGGGGCCACGGUGCAUGACUGCUUUAACUGGCUGUCAGUGCUGGUCCUGCUGCCCCUGGAGGCUGUCACCAGCUACCUGCACCACAUCACUCGACUUGUGGUGGCCUCCUUCAACAUCCAUGGUGGCCGUGACGCUCCUGACCUGCUCAAGAUCAUCACAGAGCCCUUCACAAAGCUCAUCAUCCAGGUGACAGCAGGGCCUGGCAUGGGGUGAGGGUGGGGGUAGCAAGGGACCCAGCCUCCUUCACUCCCCCUGCCCACAUCUUGCCCACAGCUGGACAAGUCCGUGAUAACCAGCAUUGCCACUGGUGAUGAGUCCCUGAGGAACCACAGUCUCAUCCGGAUCUGGUGCCACCCAGACUCCUUAGAGGCUCCCACUGCCAUGUCCAGAGCAGAGGCCAACUCCAGCCAGACCCUUGGAAAUGCCACCAUGGAGAAAUGCAACCACAUCUUUGUGGACACUGGCCUACCGGACCUGGCUGUGGGGCUCAUCCUGCUGGCAGGAUCCCUGGUGCUGCUGUGCACCUGCCUCAUCCUCCUCGUCAAGAUGCUCAAUUCCCUGCUCAAGGGCCAAGUGGCCAAGGUCAUCCAGAAGGUCAUCAAUACCGACUUCCCUGCCCCCUUCACCUGGGUCACAGGGUACUUUGCCAUGGUGGUGGGCGCCAGCAUGACCUUCGUGGUCCAAAGCAGUUCUGUGUUCACCUCAGCCAUCACCCCACUCAUCGGUCUUGGUGUGAUCAGCAUUGAGAGGGCCUACCCGCUCACACUGGGUUCCAACAUCGGCACCACCACCACGGCCAUCCUGGCUGCCCUGGCCAGCCCCAGGGAGAAGCUGUCCAGCGCUUUCCAGGUGCGCUAGGAGUGUAGCCUCGCCUGGGGCAGGAUGGAGCUGCCUCUGGGGUGUGGGGCCUGACAAAGGUGUGACAACAUGCAACAAAUAUUUUGACUGCCUACUAAGGGCCACCUAAUAUGCUCAAUGAAACCAUUAUGGGCAAAGUAGACCCGAUACCACCCUCGAGACCUUAGCAUCUAAUAGGGAGACACUGCUCAUAAUUAUACCAAUAAAUAGCAGUGAGUCAGA